Long non-coding RNA from Oryzias melastigma (Indian medaka), 2268 nucleotides. RefSeq lists it as uncharacterized. The record is from RefSeq and is a predicted model, not a curated record. Lineage: Eukaryota; Metazoa; Chordata; Actinopteri; Beloniformes; Adrianichthyidae. The transcript is spliced from 2 exons.
GGACAAACAAGAUGAUAGUUAGCCUGAGGCCAUGUUGUUGGCUAGGGCUCGGCGGUUAUCUGUCAAUCAAAAUAUGGCGCCCAGAUAAACUUUUUUCCCCAUCUCACCAAAAAAAAUUCGUCCCGUUCCAGGUGAUCCCGUCGCUGACAGCUCACAUGGAUACAAUGCGGAUGUUUCUCACAAUGUGCCAAAAGCGUUUGCGCCGCGCGCACCUAAGAAAACAGGCGCAGCCUUUAACUGCGGCCAGGAGGAGUUCGGCUUUGCGCACAGCUGAAGAAGACAUCGACGCGCCUGCGCGGGAUCAAAGGCUGACAAACAGCGUCAACAAUGAGAAAAAAAGCUGGCACGGAACCGGGGAUAAGUGGAUGAGGCUGGGCGCACGCAUGGAGCUUCGGAGGGAGCGCGCGCGCGCGCAUGCCUGGACAUGUGAUCCGUCCGAACCCGGGUCUCAUGGGAACUCUCAGAGGUUGCUUUUCUGUUGUUCUCAAGGGUCAAAGACAGAGUUAAGUGAAGGGCAGGAGGUGAUCUUUUAUGUGCGCCUCCCUCACCUUUUUCUUCCAAACGGCUCAUGUCUGGUUUGAUCCAAAAACACACGUUUAGUGCCAAAAUAAAGAGUCAUGGGAAGAAAAUGGUGUGAAAACCAAAAAAACAGUUUUCACUACUUCUAGUUUUACAGAUGAAAAAGAGACAAAAAGUAGAAAAAAUGAAACAUUUUGAGUGGCAACAGCAUUUGUUUGGCAGUGAGCAGAGAGAGCCGGACUGCCAGCUCUGCUGAGCCCCUCUCCUAAUGUCAGGACCCUCAAGGAAAAAAGUCCUGCUUUCAUCAGCUUUACUUUUUGGAGGCUCUAAACAGCUGGACUCACACAAAACACAAUUCACACUGCAGGUUGUGAGAUUUAAAGUCUUUUAAGACAAAAUCUCUGCAGAAACUAAAAAAAAAUGAGGCUGAGCGAGCAUUAACGCCGUAUUAAUGCUGGGAGCUCUCAGGUUUCUGUCUGCUUUCCAGAAAUUGGAUCUUCAGGGGGAAAAAAUGCAACUUUUCCGGAAGUUUCAGGCUUUUAAUGCAGAAGAAAACAAAGCAAACUUAAAAUACUCCCCAAAGUGGCUCCUUUUGUGUAUUUUUUAUGGUGUCUUACAUUUUUAUUGUUCGUUUUUCAGAUUGUUUUAUUUACGUGUAAGGAACUUUGUGUUAUAUUCUGUAUAAAAAGUGCUAUAAAAAUAAAGUUUGAUUUCAUUUGUAGAAAAAUAUCAUCUAAACUGUAGUUUCAGAUCAAAAUAUAUGUGCAUAUGCAGCUUUUAAAAUCUAUGCUGAAUUAGAAGUGUGUAUUUUUACUCUCAACAUGUAAAAAAUUAAGUUUAGGUGAAUAUACGGAACCCCACAGGAGACAAUAUUUUAAAAUCAAUGCAAAAAAAUUCAAAAGACAAGCUGAAUAAUGAGAAAUCAUAUAAAAAGUAUGUUUAACUACUAUUUUUGGUGUAGACGAUAAAAACAGAAUUCAUUUUUUAUUUAAAAAAUGUUGAAAAAUGUUAAACAAAAAUCCUGUAUCUCAAAAAUAAAAAAAACUAAUACAGCAAUAUAGUGAAAACAUUAAAAUAAAUAAGGGAAGCAAAAACAUUUUGUUUUGUUUGAUAGAUCACUUAGUGAAAAGUGUGAACUCUGUUCCACUGUGUAACCUUUAAAGUGGAACUAUAUGGAGGUCCUUAGGAGACAAUAUUUUUAAGAUCAAUAAAAUAAAAAAACACAAGCCUCAAGACACAAAACAUGAGAAAAUAUAUUUUAAAAAUCAAAAAGAUUAUUACGGUACUUCUAUUUUGUUGCAGGAAGUGUUUUUGCCUAACAACCGAAUAUUCUUUAGCAAAGAAAUGAAAAUAAAUAAAUUAGCAAAAAUAAGAAAUGCAAAAAAGCAUUUAAACUAGCCAAAACUUUUCUAUUGUUUUGUUAUACAAAUGUUUAGGUUUUUUGCUUGUUUCUGUUUAAUUGUGUAACCUUAAAAAUGUAAAGCAUGGACCUUUGGUGGAACAAUAUGGAGGCAAGGAGGAGACAAUAUUUUAGAAAAAAAAUGCAAAAAUAAAAAACCUCAAAACAAAAACUUACUCAUUAAAAAAUAUUUUAAAGACAAAUAAAAAGUUUUCCUAGUGAAUCAAUUUUGUAUAGAUAAUAAAUACAGGGACCUUUUUUUUCAAAGAACAACUUCGUCUUUUAUAAGAAAAAUAAAAACUUUAAAACUCAGAAAGACAAAAACCUAAAAAACAAAAAUAGGAAAAAAA